Molecule: non-coding RNA, 94 nt
Organism: Chelonia mydas (Green sea turtle)
Lineage: Eukaryota; Metazoa; Chordata; Testudines; Cheloniidae
Source: Rfam
GCUCCAGUGGCGCAAUUGGUUAGCGCACAGUACUUAUAAAGCAGUACUUGACUGAGCAAUGCUGAGGUUGUGAGUUCGAGCCUCACCUGGAGCA